RNAcentral lists this small RNA (773 nucleotides) under Theobroma cacao (cacao). RNAcentral describes it as "sRNA Tc10v2_g003750". Lineage: Eukaryota; Viridiplantae; Streptophyta; Magnoliopsida; Malvales; Malvaceae. The record is from RNAcentral.
UCCAUCGUCCUCGACUCCACUUUCUUCCCUCGCUUCCUUCUCUUCACUCUUUCUUGAUCGACAGAAAAACCAAUCAAAUUCAGCUCAUAAGUAUUCUUUUUCUUUAGGUGUCCUUCUUCAAUGGCUUCCUCCAAGCGACUCUCCUUCUCCAAAAGCAACUCCAAGAUCUUUGGAAGAAACCGGUUGAUGGAUUCUCAGCGGAGUUGCUUGAUGACAAUGUUCUUGAAUGGAUUGUUAUAAUUACGGGGCCCCAAAUACUCUCCAGGAUAUUUUUGUGAUGGGGGCACUUCGAUGCCAUCUUUAGCUUUCCAUCAGAUUACCCAGCAAACCCUCCAACUGUAAGGUUUAUCUCAAAGAUGUGGCAUCCUAAUGGCUGCAAGUGGUGGAACAAGGAUUUUGUCACUUGCACUCCUGGAUCAUGCAUGGUCCAGGGAUGGAGGAUGAAUGCUGAAGGGAUAGGGACAUGGUUGAAAGUAUAUUUCUGGGCAUCAUGUCAAUGCUCUCUAGCCCUGAUGAUGAAAUCCCGCCAAUGAGGAUGCUGCAAUGGAAUGGAGGAAUAGAAGGGAGGAGUUUGAGCAGAAAGUCAAGCAGUGUGUGGUAGCAUCGCUGCAAGAUCAUCAAGCAGCAGAUCAAAGUUAAUAACAUCUAUCCCUAUAAAAAUACCGUGUACUUUCUUCUUGCCGACUGGUGACCAUCAAAGUAUAUCGAACCAUGUUGAAUACCGUAUGUCACAAAAAUAACAUCAAAGUAUGUCACACCACAUUGAUGUGUCA